Mastomys coucha (southern multimammate mouse) is the source of this 257-nucleotide long non-coding RNA. RefSeq lists it as uncharacterized. NCBI's taxonomy places the organism in Eukaryota, Metazoa, Chordata, Mammalia, Rodentia, Muridae. The record is from RefSeq and is a predicted model, not a curated record. The transcript has 3 exons.
GGGAAGGAGAGGUGGAUGAGGAAGAGAGCGAUGAGAGAGCAAGACUGGAGGACGAACAAGGAAGCUUCAGCUCUUGUACUUGAUAACAUGAAAUGCACUUGACCUUGAGACCUCUGCAAACUGAAGAGCCUGACAUCUAUUGUGAAGAAAGGUCAGCAGGAUGCUUUUUCUGCCUCUCUCAAACAGCAGGAUUUUACCUCAGCAUCUGGCUCUUGAGUCUUCAUUUGGUAAAAUUAAACAGUUCAUUUUAAAAACCA